RNAcentral lists this transfer RNA (69 nucleotides) under Ictidomys tridecemlineatus (thirteen-lined ground squirrel). Its description in RNAcentral is "Spermophilus tridecemlineatus (thirteen-lined ground squirrel) tRNA". It matches the Rfam family "tRNA". From Rfam's summary of the family: Transfer RNA (tRNA) molecules are approximately 80 nucleotides in length. Their secondary structure includes four short double-helical elements and three loops (D, anti-codon, and T loops). Further hydrogen bonds mediate the characteristic L-shaped molecular structure. tRNAs have two regions of fundamental functional importance: the anti-codon, which is responsible for specific mRNA codon recognition, and the 3' end, to which the tRNAs corresponding amino acid is attached (by aminoacyl-tRNA synthetases). tRNAs cope with the degeneracy of the genetic code in two manners: having more than one tRNA (with a specific anti-codon) for a particular amino acid; and 'wobble' base-pairing, i.e. permitting non-standard base-pairing at the 3rd anti-codon position. The record is from Rfam by way of RNAcentral. Lineage: Eukaryota; Metazoa; Chordata; Mammalia; Rodentia; Sciuridae.
GGGGUUGUGGCUCAGUGGUAGAGCACUUGCCUAGCAUGCAGGAGGCACUAGGUUUGAUUCUCAGCACCA